GCUGAGCGCCUGAUCUAACCAGUCCUUUUUAUCUUGUAGAUGAAGAUAAAGGGAUUUUGAGAGCUUAAGAAAUUGACCCCAAAUGAGGACUGUACAGUCAGUUAUUGGCUCCAGGGUCUGAACUCAGACCAGAGCUCUCACCAUUAUCCUAUAGCAACAUCUCCUCAGCAUUAACACUUAGGGUUGGUGUUCUUACAGAGAAUAGCCAUGAUGUUUAUGUCUUUAAAGAUAAAUCUGGAUGUAGUAUCUGAACAGUGUGAGCAUACUUUACAAGGACCGUUGAGAACCAAGACUCUUCUGGAAACAUCUGUGAUCUAUGGUCCGAGGAUCUGAAGACGGUGAUUAGCUCAGGUUGUGGAGUGACUAAAGGUGCCACGUGGAGACCCUUCUCAUGGCCUGGCUGGCUCUGCCCCGAGGAGGCCCCGGGCAUCAGUGUCCGCAGGUGGGAUGGGAGCAGGCUCGUUGCCCCUGUUGGAAGUCUCAGGGAGGCCGUGCUUUCUGAAGGGCCCCAGCGACAGGACGGAGAGGGUGGCUCUGAGCCCAGCAGUCUUGCGUUCCAGCUCUGCCGCCACCACCAACUGGCCCUUUGACCUUGGAUAUGUCAUUUCACUCAAGCCUUGGUGCUGUCAUGUGUAAAGGUGGAUAAAAUGGCCAGGAAGCUUGCAAGAACCGUUCCAAAGGAGCUCGCAGCAGUGGGAAACGGAGAAGAUUUGCAGAUAAAGGGGCCAAACAGCCCCGAGUGGCAUCGUGGGAGGAAGUGUGACACCCAGCGGAGGGGCCUCCAAUGGACACGGGCAAAUGCCGUUUUCAACACUUUAAGCUCUUUUUCAUCUUUGCUUGUGGCUGCCUAGCCUUGGUCCCUACCCAUGCUCAGUAAAUUGUUGCAGUUCUUCUGUU
Molecule: long non-coding RNA, 897 nt
Organism: Canis lupus familiaris (dog)
Lineage: Eukaryota; Metazoa; Chordata; Mammalia; Carnivora; Canidae
Exons: 3
Source: RefSeq, a predicted model, not a curated record